GACGAACGCUGGCGGCGUGCUUAACACAUGCAAGUCGAACGGAAGGGCCUGCUUUCCCUUGUGGAUUGCGGGUACUCGAGUGGCGAACGGGUGAGUAACACGUGAGUGAUCUGCCCCCAACUUGGGUAUAAGCCUGGGAAACUGGGUCUAAUUCCCGAUAGGACUGCAGGGUGGUGCCUGUGGUGGAAAACGAUUUUCUAGUGGUUGGGGAUGAGCUCGCGGCCUAUCAGCUUGUUGGUGGGGUAAUGGCCUACCAAGGCGGCGACGGGUAGCCGGCCUGAGAGGGUGGACGGCCACAUUUGGACUGAGAUACGGCCCAGACUCCUACGGGAGGCAGCAGUGGGGAGUAUUGCACAAUGGGCGGAAGCCUGAUGCAGCGACGCCGAGUGGGGGAUGACGGCCUUCGGGUUGUAAACUCCUUUCGACCGCGAGGAAGCCACCUGGUUGGAAGGGUGGUGACGGUAGUGGUAGAAGAAGCACCGGCUAACUACGUG
This 494-nucleotide ribosomal RNA is filed under the name uncultured bacterium. Its description in RNAcentral is "partial 16S ribosomal RNA". It matches the Rfam family "Bacterial small subunit ribosomal RNA", at positions 28 to 507 of the family's 1533-position model. The record is from RNAcentral.